This 73-nucleotide transfer RNA is filed under the name Cordylochernes scorpioides. Its description in RNAcentral is "tRNA-Thr". The record is from RNAcentral. Lineage: Eukaryota; Metazoa; Arthropoda; Arachnida; Pseudoscorpiones; Chernetidae.
GUCCAGAGAUGGGAAUCGAACCCACAAUGUUCCGCUUACCGGGCAGAUGCCAUGUCCACUAGGUUACCCUGGA